This 500-nucleotide ribosomal RNA is filed under the name uncultured bacterium. RNAcentral's name for it is "partial 16S ribosomal RNA". It matches the Rfam family "Bacterial small subunit ribosomal RNA", at positions 30 to 523 of the family's 1533-position model. The record is from RNAcentral.
AUUGAACGCUGACGGCAUGCUUUACACAUGCAAGUCGAACGGUAACAGGGUGCUUGCACCGCUGACGAGUGGCGAACGGGUGAGUAAUGCGUCGGAACGUGCCGAGUAGUGGGGGAUAACGCAGCGAAAGUUGUGCUAAUACCGCAUACGUACUGAGGUAGAAGGUGGGGGACCUUCGGGCCUCACGCUAUUCGAGCGGCCGACGUCUGAUUAGCUAGUAGGUGAGGUAAAGGCUCACCUAGGCGACGAUCAGUAGCGGGUCUGAGAGGAUGAUCCGCCACCCUGGGACUGAGACACGGCCCAGACUCCUACGGGAGGCAGCAGUGGGGAAUUUUGGACAAUGGGCGAAAGCCUGAUCCAGCCAUGCCGCGUGUCUGAAGAAGGCCUUCGGGUUGUAAAGGACUUUUGUCAGGGAGGAAAUCCCUAGUGCUAAUAACACUGGGGGAUGACAGUACCUGAAGAAUAAGCACCGGCUAACUACGUGCCAGCAGCCGCCGCAG